UCAAGCUGGAAAGAGCGCAAGGGGAAUGCCUUGGCAUCAGGAGCCGAAGAAGGACGUGACAAGCUGCGAAAAGCCUCGGGGAGGAGCAAAUAUCCAUUGAUCCGGGGAUAUCCGAAUGGGGCAACCCGGCUGGACAAUAUCCAGUCAUCCUGCGUUGAACAAAAUAGGCGUAGGAAGGGAACCGCCUGAACUGAAACAUCUAAGUAGGGCGAGGAAGAGACAUCAACCGAGAUUCCGCAAGUAGUGGCGAGCGAACGCGGAAGAGGCCAAACCGAGGGAUUUAUUCCUCGGGGUUGCGGACAGUCAUUUAGCGGAAGUUAUCUAGGAGAAGGGUCUGGGAAGGCCCGCCACAGAGGGUGAGAGCCCCGUAUCCGAAAGAGAAGGCCGUGCGACUGAAUCCAGAGUACCGCGGGACACGUGAAACCCCGUGGGAAACAGGGGGGACCACCCUCCAAGCCUAAAUACUACCUGAUGACCGAUAGAGGAGCAGUACCGUGAGGGAAAGGUGAAAAGGACCCCGGGAGGGGAGUGAAAGAGAACCUGAAACCUUGUGCUUACAAGCUGUCAAAGCACGUUAACGUGUGAUGGCGUACUUUUUGUAGAACGGUCCGGCGAGUUAUAGUAACGAGCGAGCUUAAGGCAUUCAGUGCCGGAGGCGAAGCGAGAGCGAGUCUGAAUAGGGCGUAAAGUUCGUUGCCAUAGACCCGAAACCGGGUGACCUACCCAUGAGCAGGUUGAAGUGGGGGUGAAACCCCAUGGAGGACCGAACCGACCCCCGUUGCAAUGGUGGCGGAUGACUUGUGGGUAGCGGUGAAAUUCCAAUCGAACUCGGAGAUAGCUGGUUCUCCCCGAAAUAGCUUUAGGGCUAGCGUUAUGUUAGAUUACCGGAGGUAAAGCACUGAAUGGUAGCGGGGCCGAUAAGGUUACCAACGCCUAUCAAACUAAGAAUGCCGGCUAAUUGAUGCAUAGCAGUCAGACAGUGUGAGAUAAGUUUCAUUGUCAAAAGGGAAACAGCCCAGACCUACAGCUAAGGUCCCGAAUAGAUGCUAAGUGGAAAACGAUGUGGAGUUGCGAAAACAACCAGGAUGUUGGCUUAGAAGCAGCCACUCAUUAAAAGAGUGCGUAAUAGCUCACUGGUCGAGUGACUCUGCGCGGAAAAUAUAACGGGGCUAAGCGUAACACCGAAGCUUGGGCUGCACAGCAAUGUGCGGGGUAGGGGAGCGUCGAAUAUGGGGUGAAGUCGCAGCGGAAGCAGCGGUGGACUGUAUUCGAGUGAGAAUGCCGGAAUGAGUAGCGAGAAUUAUGUGGGAAUCAUAAUGGCCGAAAAUCUAAGGUUUCUUGGGGAAGGUUCGUCCGCCCAAGGUAAGCCGGGAGCUAAGGCGAGGCCGAAAGGCGUAGUCGAUGCACAUACGGUUGAAAUUCCGUAGCCACCGAAACUUAAACCAGAAGGACACUUGGAGCUAUCCGAACCCGGGCGUUGGUUGACCCGGGCGUAAGGGACCGAAAUUAAGUAGGGAAGUCGGAGAAUGACGAGGCGAGAAAAGUUCUGGUGUAUGCUAAGGUGCCCGUACCGCAAACCGACACAGGUAGAUGAGGAGAGAAUCCUAAGGCCAACGGGAGAAGGGUUGUUAAGGAACUCGGCAAAAUGACCCCGUAACUUCGGGAUAAGGGGAGCCUCCUACGGGAGGCCGCAGCGAAUAGGCCCAAGCGACUGUUUACCAAAAACACAGGUCUCUGCUAAAUCGAAAGAUGACGUAUAGGGGCUGACGCCUGCCCGGUGCUGGAAGGUUAAGAGGAGAUGUUAGCCGCAAGGCGAAGCAUUGAAUCGAAGCCCCAGUAAACGGCGGCCGUAACUAUAACGGUCCUAAGGUAGCGAAAUUCCUUGUCAGGUAAGUUCUGACCCG
RNAcentral lists this ribosomal RNA (1904 nucleotides) under human gut metagenome. Its description in RNAcentral is "bacterial LSU rRNA". It matches the Rfam family "Bacterial large subunit ribosomal RNA", at positions 3 to 1990 of the family's 2925-position model. The record is from RNAcentral.